Molecule: ribosomal RNA, 497 nt
Filed under: uncultured bacterium
Lineage: Bacteria
Description: partial 16S ribosomal RNA
Rfam family: Bacterial small subunit ribosomal RNA
Source: RNAcentral
GAUGAACGCUGGCGGCGUGCCUAAUACAUGCAAGUCGAGCGAACAGAUGAGGAGCUUGCUCCUCUGACGUUAGCGGCGGACGGGUGAGUAACACGUGGAUAACCUACCUAUAAGACUGGGAUAACUUCGGGAAACCGGAGCUAAUACCGGAUAAUAUAUUGAACCGCAUGGUUCAAUAGUGAAAGACGGUUUUGCUGUCACUUAUAGAUGGAUCCGCGCCGCAUUAGCUAGUUGGUAAGGUAACGGCUUACCAAGGCAACGAUGCGUAGCCGACCUGAGAGGGUGAUCGGCCACACUGGAACUGAGACGCGGUCCAGACUCCUACGGGAGGCAGCAGUAGGGAAUCUUCCGCGAUGGGCGAAAGCCUGACGGAGCAACGCCGCGUGAGUGAUGAAGGUCUUCGGAUCGUAAAACUCUGUUAUUAGGGAAGAACAAAUGUGUAAGUAACUAUGCACGUCUUGACGGUACCUAAUCAGAAAGCCACGGCUAACUACGUG